This is a transfer RNA of Ovis aries (sheep), 72 nucleotides long. It matches the Rfam family "tRNA". Rfam says of the family: Transfer RNA (tRNA) molecules are approximately 80 nucleotides in length. Their secondary structure includes four short double-helical elements and three loops (D, anti-codon, and T loops). The record is from Rfam. Lineage: Eukaryota; Metazoa; Chordata; Mammalia; Artiodactyla; Bovidae.
UCCCUGGUGGCUCAGAGGUUAAAGUUUCUGCCUUCAAUGCGGGAGACCUGGGUUCAAUCCCUGGGUUGGGAA